AGCAGCCGCGGUAAUUCCAGCUCCAACAGCGUAUAUUAAAGUUGUUGCAGUUAAAAGCUCGUAGUUGAAUUUCGGGAUUGACACAUCGGUCGUGCCUUAAGGGGUGUGAACUGGUGUAGUCAAUUUCUCACCUUCUGGAGAACCGCGAUGUCCUUAAUUGGGUGCCGCGAGGAACCAGGACCUUUACUUUGAAAAAAUUAGAGUGUUUAAAGCAGGCAUUUUUGCUUGAAUACAUUAGCAUGGAAUAAUAAAAUAGGACGGCAUGAUUCUAUUUUGUUGGUUUCUAGGAUCACCGUAAUGAUUAAUAGGGAUAGUUGGGGGCAUUAGUAUUCAAUUGUCAGAGGUGAAAUUCUUGGAUUUAUUGAAGACUAACUACUGCGAAAGCAUUUGCCAAGGAUGUUUUCAUUAAUCAAGAACGAAAGUUAGGGAUCGAAGACGAUCAGAUACCGUCGUAGUCUUAACCAUAAACUAUAGCCGACUAGGAAUCAGACGAUGUUAAUUUUACUUAGUAUCUUGUUCG
RNAcentral lists this ribosomal RNA (520 nucleotides) under uncultured Entrophospora. RNAcentral describes it as "SSU rRNA". It matches the Rfam family "Eukaryotic small subunit ribosomal RNA", at positions 569 to 1082 of the family's 1831-position model. The record is from RNAcentral. Lineage: Eukaryota; Fungi; Glomeromycota; Glomeromycetes; Entrophosporales; Entrophosporaceae.